This 429-nucleotide ribosomal RNA is filed under the name Chloroflexota bacterium. RNAcentral's name for it is "Chloroflexi bacterium partial 16S ribosomal RNA". It matches the Rfam family "Bacterial small subunit ribosomal RNA", at positions 355 to 776 of the family's 1533-position model. The record is from RNAcentral. Lineage: Bacteria; Bacillati; Chloroflexota.
UGGGGAAUAUUGCACAAUGGGCGCAAGCCUGAUGCAGCCAUGCCGCGUGUAUGAAGAAGGCCUUCGGGUUGUAAAGUACUUUCAGCGGGGAGGAAGGGAGUAAAGUUAAUACCUUUGCUCAUUGACGUUACCCGCAGAAGAAGCACCGGCUAACUCCGUGCCAGCAGCCGCGGUAAUACGGAGGGUGCAAGCGUUAAUCGGAAUUACUGGGCGUAAAGCGCACGCAGGCGGUUUGUUAAGUCAGAUGUGAAAUCCCCUGGCUCAACCUGGGAACUGCAUCUGAGACUGGCAAGCUUGAGUCUCGUAGAGGGGGGUAGAAUUCCAGGUGUAGCAGUGAAAUGCGUAGAAAUCUGGAGGAAUACCGGUGGCGGAGGCGGCCGCGUGGACGAAGACUGACGCUCAGGUGCGAAAGAGUGGGGAGCAAACAGG